UGGGGAAUAUUGCACAAUGGGCGCAAGCCUGAUGCAGCCAUGCCGCGUGUAUGAAGAAGGCCUUCGGGUUGUAAAGUACUUUCAGCGGGGAGGAAGGCGAUAAGGUUAAUAACCUUGUCGAUUGACGUUACCCGCAGAAGAAGCACCGGCUAACUCCGUACCAGCAGCCGCGGUAAUACGGAGGGUGCAAGCGUUAAUCGGAAUUACUGGGCGUAAAGCGCACGCAGGCGGUUUGUCAAGUCGGAUGUGAAAUCCCCGGGCUCAACCUGGGAACUGCAUUCGAAACUGGCAGGCUAGAGUCUUGUAGAGGGGGGUAGAAUUCCAGGUGUAGCGGUGAAAUGCGUAGAGAUCUGGAGGAAUACCGGUGGCGAAGGCGGCCCCCUGGACAAAGACUGACGCUCAGGUGCGAAAGCGUGGGGAGCAAACA
Molecule: ribosomal RNA, 427 nt
Filed under: uncultured bacterium
Lineage: Bacteria
Description: partial 16S ribosomal RNA
Rfam family: Bacterial small subunit ribosomal RNA
Source: RNAcentral